ACUCCAUGAAGCUGGAUUCGCUAGUAAUCGCGCAUCAGCCACGGCGCGGUGAAUACGUUCCCGGGCCUUGUACACACCGCCCGUCAAGCCAUGGAAGCCGGGGGUGCCUGAAGUGCGCUGCCGCGAGGAGCGCCCUAGGGUAAAACCGGUGACUGGGGCUAAGUCGUAACAAGGUAUC
This 178-nucleotide ribosomal RNA is filed under the name uncultured bacterium. RNAcentral's name for it is "partial 16S ribosomal RNA". It matches the Rfam family "Bacterial small subunit ribosomal RNA", at positions 1315 to 1500 of the family's 1533-position model. The record is from RNAcentral.